RNAcentral lists this ribosomal RNA (109 nucleotides) under Pteropus alecto (black flying fox). Lineage: Eukaryota; Metazoa; Chordata; Mammalia; Chiroptera; Pteropodidae. The record is from RNAcentral.
GUCUACAGCCAUGCCGCCCCGAUCCUGUCUGAUCUCGGAAGCUAAGCAGGAUCAGGCCUGGUUAGUACUUGGAUGGGAGACCACCUAGGAAGACCAGGUGCUGUAGGCA